This 532-nucleotide ribosomal RNA is filed under the name Bifidobacterium bifidum. RNAcentral's name for it is "bacterial SSU rRNA". It matches the Rfam family "Bacterial small subunit ribosomal RNA", at positions 157 to 701 of the family's 1533-position model. Lineage: Bacteria; Bacillati; Actinomycetota; Actinomycetes; Bifidobacteriales; Bifidobacteriaceae. The record is from RNAcentral.
CGGGUGGUAAUGCCGGAUGUUCCACAUGAUCGCAUGUGAUUGUGGGAAAGAUUUCAUCGGCGUGGGAUGGGGUCGCGUCCUAUCAGCUUGUUGGUGAGGUAACGGCUCACCAAGGCUUCGACGGGUAGCCGGCCUGAGAGGGCGACCGGCCACAUUGGGACUGAGAUACGGCCCAGACUCCUACGGGAGGCAGCAGUGGGGAAUAUUGCACAAUGGGCGCAAGCCUGAUGCAGCGACGCCGCGUGAGGGAUGGAGGCCUUCGGGUUGUAAACCUCUUUUGUUUGGGAGCAAGCCUUCGGGUGAGUGUACCUUUCGAAUAAGCGCCGGCUAACUACGUGCCAGCAGCCGCGGUAAUACGUAGGGCGCAAGCGUUAUCCGGAUUUAUUGGGCGUAAAGGGCUCGUAGGCGGCUCGUCGCGUCCGGUGUGAAAGUCCAUCGCUUAACGGUGGAUCUGCGCCGGGUACGGGCGGGCUGGAGUGCGGUAGGGGAGACUGGAAUUCCCGGUGUAACGGUGGAAUGUGUAGAUAUCGGA